GGGCGAAUAGCUCAGUUGGUUAGAGCACCCGCCUUACACGCGGGAUGUCGGGGGUUCGAGUCCCUCUUCGCCCA
Molecule: transfer RNA, 74 nt
Filed under: Gemmatimonadaceae bacterium
Lineage: Bacteria; Pseudomonadati; Gemmatimonadota; Gemmatimonadia; Gemmatimonadales; Gemmatimonadaceae
Also listed under: 2 other names
Description: tRNA-Val
Rfam family: tRNA
About the family: Transfer RNA (tRNA) molecules are approximately 80 nucleotides in length.
Source: RNAcentral